Molecule: small nuclear RNA, 107 nt
Filed under: Salvator merianae (Argentine black and white tegu)
Lineage: Eukaryota; Metazoa; Chordata; Lepidosauria; Squamata; Teiidae
Source: RNAcentral
GUGCUCACUUCGGCAGCACAUAUACGAAAAUUGGAACGAUGUAGAGAAGAUUAACAAGGCUCCUGUGCAAGGACAGCACACAAAUUUGUGAAGCGUUCCAUAUUAAA